Molecule: long non-coding RNA, 1036 nt
Organism: Prosopis cineraria
Lineage: Eukaryota; Viridiplantae; Streptophyta; Magnoliopsida; Fabales; Fabaceae
Exons: 4
Source: RefSeq, a predicted model, not a curated record
UCCAAUGCAUCCACUGAAUAUGGGAUCAUCCUCUAAUUGGUCCUUAUGGUGUAAGGCCUCCUCUGCUCCCAAGAUCUAGUGGCCCUGCAAUGCCUAUGAAUCCAGGUGUUCCUGCUAGUGGCUUUGGAGCCCCCAUGGAUGGUCCUUUUCAGGGCACUCUUGGUCAUCAAUGUCACAACAGAAUUUGAACCCAGAAAUUCCACAACUUCCUCCUGUUAGCCAACAAAUGUUAUCUUCACAGAUACCUGUGCAUUUCGUCUCAGGAACUGCCUUGUUCCCUCCAUUUGUACCAUCAAGCUCCAAUGCCCAGCUUACAGACAUCAAUGUCUCUUUCAUCAGUUAGGCAGGUUGGUCAGCCGCAACCUUUUGUCCAGGGGGCCGCUUCCUAUUCUGCAGGUGCCUGGCAUGAAUGGACAGUUACCAGCGUCCCAGCAUCAAACUCAACAGAAUCUUUCAUCUGCUGCAAUGCCUUGGAGCCCUCUCGAUGUUAGAUUGCAAUCUAAUACAGCUGUAAAUACUGCAAACCAACAGCGACUUCCUGCCUUGUUGCAGCAGCAGGCAGCAGCCGCCACUUCAGCCUACCUUGUUGCAGCAGCAGCAACCACUUCAGCCAACCUGUUGCAGCAGCAGCAACCGCUUCAGCCAACCUUGUUGCAGCAGCAGCCACUUCAGCAGUCCCCAUCUCAGUUGGCUCAGAUGUGGUCACAACAAACUCAGACUUUGCAAGCAAGCUUUCAUUCGUCUCAUCAUGCCUGUUCCCAGAUUCAACAAGUGCAAAUGAUGGCAGCCAUCUUGUCAAGAUUUAGCAUUGCAGCAAAAUGCAGAAGCUGCUAAAAAGCAGUCUCAAUCGCCUAUGAUUGUACCACAGUCAGUGGCCAGUAAUCCCACUGCUGCUGCAGCAGCAGCCACAGAUCUUCCUUCUUCCGCAUAUGCUUCUGCUACACCUACAAUAAACCAGAACGUGGCUCUUUCAAAAUGCAAUUGGACAGAGCAUAUAUCUCCUGAGGGCUUCAAGUAUUAUUAUAAUAGUGUCACU